RNAcentral lists this ribosomal RNA (154 nucleotides) under uncultured bacterium. Its description in RNAcentral is "partial 16S ribosomal RNA". It matches the Rfam family "Bacterial small subunit ribosomal RNA", at positions 1348 to 1500 of the family's 1533-position model. The record is from RNAcentral.
AUCAGCAUGCCGCGGUGAAUAACGUUCCCGGGCCUUGUACACACCGCCCGUCACACCAUGAGAGUCGGGAACACCCGAAGUCCGUAGUCUAACCGCAAGGAGGGCGCGGCCGAAGGUGGGUCCGGUAAUUGGGGUGAAGUCGUAACAAGGUAAC